This 628-nucleotide unclassified non-coding RNA is filed under the name Bombus terrestris (buff-tailed bumblebee). Its description in RNAcentral is "misc RNA ENSBTSG00005020773.1". Lineage: Eukaryota; Metazoa; Arthropoda; Insecta; Hymenoptera; Apidae. The record is from RNAcentral.
CCAUCUGUUUAUGAAUACCUUGCAUCGACGUUGCUAGCGAAAACACGCGACUUAAUAGCAGAUAGAUACGUUUCAGGAAAAUUCUGCGGAACAGUUGCAAAUGUAUACGUGUAUACGUAUGCAUUAUCAGUAGCCGCGUAGAUGGCGCGACUCGCCCUUGAAAAAUAGUCUCGACGAGACACGAGGCGAGAAGAGAUUGCACUUUCUCCGAAUCGUGGACCGGCGUUCGAGCACGUUCUGGCCCGGCGCCAACUUCACUCGAAAAGUGGAGGAGACACACCGCGGUAGCGAUGAGCUCAAACACGCGUUGAACUUGAUCCCAUCGCUACACGUUCAACGAAGCUGGGGAGCAACUGUGGCGAAUUUUCUUGGCGAAUGCAUCGGCCUUGGGGCGAGGCUGUGAAUGGAUAAUUGCAGCGCGGAUUGUUACGCAAUUUCCUAUUUUUAUGACGAGAGCUAAGAGAUAUGGAACCUACGUAAUUCGUUUUGCCAAGUAAAACUUAUGGCAGGUAUAGAAGAAUUUUAGAUGGAAAAGGCUAGUAGUUGGCGAGAAAGCGGAUUAAAAGUAAACGUAAUCGAAGGAGUACGUUGAUUUCUAUGGAAAUGUAAUUACAGGGCGAUUCGAAAA